Molecule: ribosomal RNA, 292 nt
Filed under: uncultured Verrucomicrobiota bacterium
Lineage: Bacteria; Pseudomonadati; Verrucomicrobiota
Description: uncultured Verrucomicrobia bacterium partial 16S ribosomal RNA
Source: RNAcentral
GGACUACCCGGGUAUCUAAUCCUGUUUGCUCCCCUAGCUUUCGUGCCUCAGUGUCAGGAGUUGUCCAGGGACUCGCCUUCGCCACUGGUGUUCCUCUCGACAUCUACGCAUUUCACUGCUACACCGAGAAUUCCAGUCCCCCCUCCAACCCUCCAGCCAUAUAGUAUCCAAUGCAGUUUCGAAGUUAAGCUUCGAGAUUUCACAUCAGACUUAUGCGGCCACCUACGCACCCUUUACGCCCAGUGAAUCCGAACAACGCUUGGGACCUCUGUAUUACCGCGGCUGCUGGCAC